Long non-coding RNA from Alligator mississippiensis (American alligator), 3854 nucleotides. RefSeq lists it as uncharacterized. The record is from RefSeq and is a predicted model, not a curated record. NCBI's taxonomy places the organism in Eukaryota, Metazoa, Chordata, Crocodylia, Alligatoridae. The transcript has 3 exons.
CUUAGGAACUCCAGCAAAGACAGAGGAAAAGCAUUCCCACCAUACUGCUAUAACAGAGCCGCAGUGAGCUGCAAAGGGGAGCAAGGAAGCAAGAUUGAAAUUUGACAACCUUCUUUGAAUCCUGACAGCUUUACAAAGAUAUUCACCAAGGUGUCAGGGAAGGGAGAAUAAGCCAAAACUCCUCUUUGAGGGAAAGAAGAAAAGGGAUGGAAAGAAAUAAGCCACUGAAAACAGGAUUUCGAAAAGAAAGUGCCAUCUCAGCCAGAACUCUCUUUGCAGGAACACCUCCAAGAAAUUAUGAUGAUAAAUGCUGCGUUCACAACCUGAAUAUCUAAUUUUUGUCCCUUGAGGCAAAAUUUUGGAUUAAGCCAGUGGUUUUCAAACUUCGUGAAGUCAUGGCACCCAUUCAUAUGACUUCUGCUGCAGAAACCGCACUCCUGGCUUCACAGGCCAUGUGAGAUGACACGGAUUCAAGUGACCUGGCCUAGCAAUGGCAGCACACUGCCAUUACCCUUUGUCUUCCUGCAAAACCCUUGCCCUAUCACAGAACUCCAAAGUUUGGCAAAACACAGUUUAUAAACCAAUGGCCUUAAGCAACAGAUACCUACAGGUAUGCUCCUAACUAUACUAAGAUUAUGGAGAAACAAGCUCAGGAUAAGGAAGACAGAUGCUAUCUGACUCUUUUCUUGCAUGAUGAGGUGCAUAAGUUCAGUGAUAAUAAUUAUUAAGAGGGCUGAGUACCCUGCACUACAGGAUCCUACAUAUCCCUACUAUUGCUUGUAGUACAAUGAGGAAAAAAUGCCAUCACUUCAAUCUGAGAAACAGAGACCCUAUAAUUACAGACUCUACAGGCACAGUACAGGGGCACAAAGGGGCAGGUUUCAAUUUGCAACAGAACACUUGCAGGCCCUUCGCCUCAGAGAGUGCUAUUUCCCUGCCCUGACUAAGAAUCCCUUUCAACCUCCAGCUAUUCUCAAGCAUUUCAAGAAAGCAAGCUAUUUUUUAUAAUGGGUAGUUAUUUUUUACUUUCCACUUACCCCAAAUCAGUAGAACCAUUCUUGGUCAAAGUUUCUUAAACAAAAGGAAACAAAGGACAAGCUAUAGUUGGGCAGAAAGCAUGUCUUGUAAGUUUUUGCCCAUGGAAAACAAUUUCAGAAAGAUACUAGCAACUAUAAAAUUGGGUGGUAGAGAUGAAAGUGAAGGCAGACAGUUAACUAUGGUCAUGGUGGCCACUCCCACUAUCACAAAGCGGAGUCCACAUAAAAGUAUUCUUGCAGGAGUAGAUUAAAAAUGGAAGGGCCUGGUGUGGACAGCACAGCAAGAAAAAAAAGUAUCUAGCUAAUUCAAUUUCAAAUAAGAAGACUAGACCUGCUUAGGAAGUAUUUAUGCCAACAAGAAGUGAUAUCCAAAAAUUAUCCAUGGAUUUUCCUCUAGAUCUAUGUUUCCUGCUUGUCAUAUUCCUGUCAGUGUAGAUUCUGAGGCACAAAAGACUGGUUCCUUUCUCCCUUGAAGUUUUUCAUUCCAUAACUGAUGAGCCCCUUAACUUUGAAAGCAGAUGAGAACAAUUCCACCCUUUCAAGCAUCCCAGCUGCUGUCUCUUUAAAAGAAACUUCCUAAAACUCCUGUACUCCUCUAACCAAUUCAGGAUGUACUUGUUCAUCUGUUAGAUCAUUACCAGAAACACUGAGCCCAUUAGGUCUAAUGAACUGCUACUUAGGUGGCAAGCUGAAAAGCUAAAUGAGCUGAUUUCCCAGAGAAAAAGAAAGGUGCAGUCAGACUUCCCAACAGGAAGGGUACCCAUUCUAAAGGAAGUGUGGAAUUUCCCUACGUGAGAAAAGACAUUUAUAGAAAAGACUACUUAAUUCUAAACCACAGCAGAAUCACUUGCUACUUUAACAUACAAAGGAUCAUGUAAUCAAAUGUGGCCCUGCAAGUGUACAACACAAAAUAGCAUUUUUAAACCCUGUUUUAUUUUGUGUGAGCUGUGUCUGAGGAGAGGGCUGAGAAGCACAGGUUAAGUUAUCAGAGACCAAGAAAAUUAUCGGAAUUUUCUUUAUAAUUAAAAUAACAUUUUUGCUCCAAUUCAAAAACAGCAGAAUUGUUCUUCUUCUGCAUUCCUUCCCAGAAUAAUUUACUUCUAAACCAAGACCAAACAUGAAAAAUUUCAGCUGACAUAUUUUAUGAUGUUAAAAGGCCACCAAUUAUUGACAUUCUUGCCUUCUCAGGAUCAACACUGGUAUCACAAAAUUCAGACACUAUUGAAAACUUAGAGGGAUUCAAGGAAGUCUAUUAUCUUAUUCACAUCCCACAGGGAAUCACAGGCAGCUGUAAAGAUGUGAACACAAGCAGCUAUAGGCCAAGAAUCUUGCACGUAAAUUGGACUUGUCACAAAGAGCAGCAGGGAGUUAAGAGUUUGAUUCUUUGGCUUUUACUGGGGAAUGUAUACAGCCUCAGUGAACACUCCAGAUGUUGUCAAACACCCCUCUGUUGCCAUCUAAACUCACAAGUGCAUAGAUAAAUAAGACUAUGACAUGAAUAUUUAUACAAGUAUUGACAAGGAAUUGACUGCAAUUAAUCAAGUAUCUAAGUAGGUCAAUCUUUCUGAGUAGUUUUGGAAGGGGGGGGGGGUGUUAUACCUGUGCCCACUUUCAUCCAUUUUCGAUGCAAUAGCAGAUGCAUCUUGGUCAGCCCCACUUCUCUUGUCUCCUAGUUAUACACUUUUCUCAGCUUUUCCAAUUUAAAUUCUUAUUUCUGAUAAUUUCAGCAAGGACUUCUCUUCAAGUUCUUCCACAUUCUACUCUCCCUGGAGGAUAAAAUCUCUCAUGUCACACUGGUUGCACAACUGUUCCCUUAUGGAAAUCCACUGUGCUGUCUGACCCCCAAAUUUCAAGUUCUAGUUUGCGAGCAAUGUUUCUAUAUUGAUAAGAGCCUGCUCAAGUUAUGUGCAUUCUGGUGUAUUUUGGGUUGCAGCUAAGAGGAAACUUUUGUGUGAGUCAUCAGAGUAAUCCAGUUUUUAUGACUUUUAAUUGGUUCUUUCAAGCUGACAACCCUCUGGUAUUACCCCAGUGUCAUGAGUGGUACUUGAAUUUUGAUGGAGUAGCUUACUCCUUUGCUUCUAGAGGUCAGUACCAUUGAGGCCUAGUAGAGAUGCUCUAUAGAAAUAGGGUGUGUUCUGUUAAGUUGUUGCAUUAGGUUUUUUCAUACUUUGACACAAAGGAAGUAUAUGUUGUAAUGGUGCCAAAAUAUGGACCAUUCAUUUUUAUUUAUUUAUUUAUUGAAUGCAGUUUAAAGGGGAGCUCUUAUCCUAAUUAGUUGUCUUCUGCGGCUUUUGGUACCUGAGUUCAGGGACUCCCAUGGUAUUUAUUCAGCUCUGCAGGCAUAGGGCAAACUUCUCUAGGGGUUUCUCUACUGUUUGGUACACUCUGCAGUUAUAAAUGUACUACCGCUCCUUUAUGAUGCAUGAGAGUGCCUAAUAAUUUUAGCAUCCAAUGCAAUUUUUGUGGGAUAGAAAACCAAACCAUACACCAAUUAAUAACUUAUCCCAAGAAGAAACUUUCCAUUUUGAAAACCUUCCAGCAUUGCCCAAGGGAUGACCCCCUGCUCUCAUUCAGACAACCGCUAACCUCCACAGAAGUGCAGCCACCUUCCCAUCACAUACUCUCCAGAAAAAGCCAAUAUCAAAAAACCAAGAGAUUAAGUCUUUAUCUUUACAAAAGCCACAGGCAGGGGAGCUGGAAGCCACAUCCUGCCAUUUCAUUAUCUCCAAGCCACGAGGAUUUCAAAACACUUACUGCUUGACCCUGACCACAUAAACCCUUACAUUUCUCCCUGCCACCCAGAGGAAGUGCUAUGCA